CCUACGGGGGGCUGCAGUGAGGAAUAUUGGUCAAUGGGCGAGAGCCUGAACCAGCCAAGUCGCGUGAGGGAAGACGGUCCUAUGGAUUGUAAACCUCUUUUGCCGGGGAGCAAAAAGCGGUACGCGUACCGCCUCGAGAGUACCCGGAGAAAAAGCAUCGGCUAACUCCGUGCCAGAAGCCGGGGUAAUACGGAGGAUGCGAGCGUUAUCCGGAUUUAUUGGGUGUAAUGGGUGCGUAGGCGGAAGGUUAAGUCAGCGGUGAAAUGUCGGUGCUCAACACCGGCCUGCCUUUGAAACUGGUCGUCUUGAGUGAGCGAGAAGUAUGCGGAAUGCGUGGUGUAGCGGUGAAAUGCAGAGAUAUCACGAAGAACUCCGAUUGCGAAGGCAGCAUACCGGCGCUCAACUGACGCUGAGGCACGAAAGCGUGGGGAUCGAACAGGAUUAGAUACCCGGGUAGUC
This 459-nucleotide ribosomal RNA is filed under the name uncultured bacterium. RNAcentral's name for it is "partial 16S ribosomal RNA". It matches the Rfam family "Bacterial small subunit ribosomal RNA", at positions 338 to 795 of the family's 1533-position model. The record is from RNAcentral.